GACGAACGCUGGCGGCGUGCUUAACACAUGCAAGUCGAACGGAAAGGCUCCUGCUUGCAGGGGUACUCGAGUGGCGAACGGGUGAGUAACACGUGGGUGAUCUGCCUUGUACUCUGGGAUAAGCUUGGGAAACUGGGUCUAAUACCGGAUAGUAGCUGCCUUUAGUGUGGUGGUUGGAAAGUUUUUUCGGUGCAAGAUGAGCUCGCGGCCUAUCAGCUUGUUGGUGGGGUAAUGGCCUACCAAGGCGUCGACGGGUAGCCGGCCUGAGAGGGUGUACGGCCACAUUGGGACUGAGAUACGGCCCAGACUCCUACGGGAGGCAGCAGUGGGGAAUAUUGCACAAUGGGCGGAAGCCUGAUGCAGCGACGCCGCGUGGGGGAUGACGGCCUUCGGGUUGUAAACUCCUUUCGACAGGGACGAAGCUUUUGUGACGGUACCUGUAUAAGAAGCACCGGCUAACUACGUGCCAGCAGCCGCGGUAAUACGUAGGGUGCGAGCGUUGUCCGGAAUUACUGGGCGUAAAGAGCUCGUAGGUGGUUUGUCGCGUCGUCUGUGAAAUUCCGGGGCUUAACUCCGGGCGUGCAGGCGAUACGGGCAUAACUUGAGUGCUGUAGGGGAGACUGGAAUUCCUGGUGUAGCGGUGAAAUGCGCAGAUAUCAGGAGGAACACCGAUGGCGAAGGCAGGUCUCUGGGCAGUAACUGACGCUGAGGAGCGAAAGCAUGGGUAGCGAACAGGAUUAGAUACCCUGGCAGUCCAUGCCGUAAACGGUGGGCGCUAGGUGUAGGGGGCUUCCACGUCUUCUGUGCCGUAGCUAACGCAUUAAGCGCCCCGCCUGGGGAGUACGGCCGCAAGGCUAAAACUCAAAGGAAUUGACGGGGGCCCGCACAAGCGGCGGAGCAUGUGGAUUAAUUCGAUGCAACGCGAAGAACCUUACCUGGGCUUGACAUACACCAGAUCGCUGCAGAGAUGUAGUUUCCCUUGUGGUUGGUGUACAGGUGGUGCAUGGUUGUCGUCAGCUCGUGUCGUGAGAUGUUGGGUUAAGUCCCGCAACGAGCGCAACCCUUGUCUUAUGUUGCCAGCAUUUUAGUUGGGGACUCAUGAGAGACUGCCGGGGUUAACUCGGAGGAAGGUGGGGAUGACGUCAAAUCAUCAUGCCCCUUAUGUCCAGGGCUUCACACAUGCUACAAUGGUCGGUACAACGCGCAGCGACGCUGUGAGGUGGAGCGAAUCGCUGAAAGCCGGCCUUAGUUCGGAUUGGGGUCUGCAACUCGACCCCAUGAAGUCGGAGUCGCUAGUAAUCGCAGAUCAGCAAUGCUGCGGUGAAUACGUUCCCGGGCCU
Molecule: ribosomal RNA, 1340 nt
Filed under: uncultured bacterium
Lineage: Bacteria
Description: bacterial SSU rRNA
Rfam family: Bacterial small subunit ribosomal RNA
Source: RNAcentral